ACAACCUUUAAAAGCAAGGAGUUGUGUUUCACUAUUCAUCCAAUAGUGGAACACCUAAAAUGCCCUUCAAUUUCUACCGAUUUAUCGUUUUUGCCCUCUUAACAUCUUGCUCCUCCACGUUGCUUCAGCCUUAGACCCUCUCUUUACGUUCAGCCUUUGACCUAGGUCUUUCGUCCUCUUCCUUUUGCUUGCUCGAGCUUCCCCUUUCUCUUUCCUCCUGCUUCUCUUCUUGGUAUAAUCUCAUCCCCAUCUCCUACUGAAAUUUUGUCGACCACACAAUUCACGAAUGAAGGGAGGUAAAUAUCGCAAAGAUUCUCUGCCUUUGAAUUGUAAGCUCUUCAGAUCUGAAAUUGUUAUCAUUUUCAAUUGUUUUAAAAGUUUCUUAUGCAGAAAGCUGAAACGGCAGCAAGUGAGACGAAUAGGGAAUCGGUUGUGGCGUUGAAUGCUGAGAUUCGUCGACUUAAAGGUUGAUUGCAGCGAUUGGCUCAAAAAAAGGGUUAUAUUCGGUUGUGGCGUUGAAUGCUGAGAUUCGUCGAAUUAAAGGUUGAUUGCAGCGAUUGCUGCAUAUUUGUACAAACUUGGAGAAGAUCUCGUAAGUCUAUGCUGGAAAGAAUGAUCAGUGGAAUGAUUGUUAAAAGAGCUUAGCUACUAAAGGAAAUUGAUGAUCAUGAAGCAAAGGUGGCAACCAUAUGUUCUGCAAUGGGAGAGAGACCGUUGCAUAUUCAGCAGCAAAGCAGUUUGCGGCUUUAUAGGGUGUGAUGUCGAUGAACUCCAUCAACUUUCGAUAGUAGAGUUCACAACUUCUUUUUUUUGUUCAGAUAUUGCAAGAGGUUUUUGCAGCCAACAACAUAAGAUGAUUUCGGGAUCAAUUCCAAACUUCCGUAAUGCUGAGGGACAAGAUGUGCUGCUCUUUAUUGACAACAUUUUCCGUUUUACCCAAGCUAACUCAGAGGUGUCUGCUUUACUUGGAUGUAUUCCCUCGGCUGUUGGUU
Spinacia oleracea (spinach) is the source of this 992-nucleotide long non-coding RNA. RefSeq lists it as uncharacterized. NCBI's taxonomy places the organism in Eukaryota, Viridiplantae, Streptophyta, Magnoliopsida, Caryophyllales, Amaranthaceae. The record is from RefSeq and is a predicted model, not a curated record. The transcript is spliced from 6 exons.